GAACGAGACCUUCGGGUCUAGUGGCGCACGGGUGCGUAACGCGUGGGAAUCUGCCCUUGGGUUCGGAAUAACAGUGAGAAAUUACUGCUAAUACCGGAUGAUGACGUAAGUCCAAAGAUUUAUCGCCCAAGGAUGAGCCCGCGUAAGAUUAGCUAGUUGGUGGGGUAAAGGCCUACCAAGGCGACGAUCUUUAGCUGGUCUGAGAGGAUGAUCAGCCACACUGGGACUGAGACACGGCCCAGACUCCUACGGGAGGCAGCAGUGGGGAAUAUUGGACAAUGGGCGAAAGCCUGAUCCAGCAAUGCCGCGUGAGUGAUGAAGGCCUUAGGGUUGUAAAGCUCUUUUACCAGGGAUGAUAAUGACAGUACCUGGAGAAUAAGCUCCGGCUAACUCCGUGCCAGCAGCCGCGGUAAUACGGAGGGAGCUAGCGUUGUUCGGAAUUACUGGGCGUAAAGCGUGCGUAGGCGGUGACUCAAGUCAGAGGUGAAAGCCUGGAGCUCAACUCCAGAACUGCCUUUGAAACUAGGUCGCUAGAAUCUGGGAGAGGUGAGUGGAAUUCCGAGUGUAGAGGUGAAAUUCGUAGAUAUUCGGAAGAACACCAGUGGCGAAGGCGGCUCACUGGACCAGAAUUGACGCUGAGGCACGAAAGCGUGGGGAGCAAACA
RNAcentral lists this ribosomal RNA (664 nucleotides) under uncultured Alphaproteobacteria bacterium. RNAcentral's name for it is "bacterial SSU rRNA". It matches the Rfam family "Bacterial small subunit ribosomal RNA", at positions 64 to 774 of the family's 1533-position model. Lineage: Bacteria; Pseudomonadati; Pseudomonadota; Alphaproteobacteria. The record is from RNAcentral.